Molecule: ribosomal RNA, 578 nt
Filed under: Trichoderma harzianum
Lineage: Eukaryota; Fungi; Ascomycota; Sordariomycetes; Hypocreales; Hypocreaceae
Description: eukaryotic LSU rRNA
Rfam family: 5.8S ribosomal RNA (bases 218-371)
Source: RNAcentral
CAGCGGAGGGAUCAUUACCGAGUUUACAACUCCCAAACCCAAUGUGAACGUUACCAAACUGUUGCCUCGGCGGGAUCUCUGCCCCGGGUGCGUCGCAGCCCCGGACCAAGGCGCCCGCCGGAGGACCAACCAAAACUCUUUUUGUAUACCCCCUCGCGGGUUUUUUAUAAUCUGAGCCUUCUCGGCGCCUCUCGUAGGCGUUUCGAAAAUGAAUCAAAACUUUCAACAACGGAUCUCUUGGUUCUGGCAUCGAUGAAGAACGCAGCGAAAUGCGAUAAGUAAUGUGAAUUGCAGAAUUCAGUGAAUCAUCGAAUCUUUGAACGCACAUUGCGCCCGCCAGUAUUCUGGCGGGCAUGCCUGUCCGAGCGUCAUUUCAACCCUCGAACCCCUCCGGGGGGUCGGCGUUGGGGAUCGGCCCUGCCUCUUGGCGGUGGCCGUCUCCGAAAUACAGUGGCGGUCUCGCCGCAGCCUCUCCUGCGCAGUAGUUUGCACACUCGCAUCGGGAGCGCGGCGCGUCCACAGCCGUUAAACACCCAACUUCUGAAAUGUUGACCUCGGAUCAGGUAGGAAUACCCGCU